Molecule: long non-coding RNA, 374 nt
Organism: Carassius auratus (goldfish)
Lineage: Eukaryota; Metazoa; Chordata; Actinopteri; Cypriniformes; Cyprinidae
Exons: 3
Source: RefSeq, a predicted model, not a curated record
UAAAAAUUGCUGUUAAUUUACGUCAAAAUUUUAACAGUAUAAACCCGUUAUUUUAAAAAGCAGUGCUUACCUGUUUAUUUACGUUCGGUGAAAUGACCUAGAUAAAAUUUAACGUUAUUUUACCGUAUUUAUUGCUCGAAGGAAAGAAAACAGUACUUAACAGUAUUUUGGGAACAGAAAGCUGCAGCGAGCACAUGUGGAUUUCCAUCCGUCUUUAUAUUGUGAUUUAACCGUGCUAAAAUCGUCAACGUUCCAACGGCAUCAUAGAUUGGAGCUGGAUAGAUUCAGAUAUUCCCCGAUUACAAGGCAUCUUCCACUGCAGCUGAUGUAGAAAGGACACUUGAACUACCUUCAACUCCUCAACUGAUACUCUU